Long non-coding RNA from Symphalangus syndactylus (siamang), 357 nucleotides. RefSeq lists it as uncharacterized. The record is from RefSeq and is a predicted model, not a curated record. Lineage: Eukaryota; Metazoa; Chordata; Mammalia; Primates; Hylobatidae.
GGAAGACCCCAUUGAAAGAGCAUCGGGAGAAGGGGCAGGAGGAGAAGCUGAAGAGCCCAGAAACCAGAUCUCGGCAGAGCCAAUUAAAGCCCAGCCUGGAGAAGCCUUCCACAGCACGGUGGUUGUCCAGGCUCUGCUCCAGGAGGGGACAGUGCAGUGCAGGGCUUCUGCCUGGAGUGAGCCCCACCCAACAAUAAGCAGAAGGCCCUAAGUGCUUGGACCUGUACUGGCUAAAGCUGGAGAGGGCCCCAGAGACCCUGCAGUGAGUGGGUGUCCUGGCUGGGCUGGGCUGGGCCUCACCUGGAAUGUCACAGGAGCUGUGCUGGCCCACAAUGCCUGUGUCGUUCUCCUUGUCUG